CAGCCGCCGCGGGAAUACGUAGGGUGCGAGCGUUAAUCGGAAUUACUGGGCGUAAAGCGGGCGCAGACGGUUACUUAAGCAGGAUGUGAAAUCCCCGGGCUCAACCUGGGAAUUGCGUUCUGAACUGGGUGGCUAGAGUGCGUCAGAGGGGGGUAGAAUUCCACGUGUAGCAGUGAAAUACGUAGAGAUGUGGAGGAAUACCGAUGGCGAAGGCAGCCCCCUGGGAUAGCGCUGACGUUCAUGCCCGAAAGCGUGGGUAGCAAGCAGGAUUAGAUACCCGAGUAGUCCCUGUCUCUUAUAC
This 301-nucleotide ribosomal RNA is filed under the name uncultured bacterium. RNAcentral's name for it is "partial 16S ribosomal RNA". It matches the Rfam family "Bacterial small subunit ribosomal RNA", at positions 509 to 807 of the family's 1533-position model. The record is from RNAcentral.